Exaiptasia diaphana is the source of this 428-nucleotide long non-coding RNA. RefSeq lists it as uncharacterized. Lineage: Eukaryota; Metazoa; Cnidaria; Anthozoa; Actiniaria; Aiptasiidae. The record is from RefSeq and is a predicted model, not a curated record. The transcript has 4 exons.
CUAGUCUUACUUGCGCAUCAUUAUAAUUGAGGAGACAUUGAUCCAUACUUUGGUUUAUAAAGUACACUGUUUCACAUCAACGGUAUGUUUGGAAUAAAGAGCGCGUUGGUUGUUCUUGUCUUGGUGUCUGUGAUGUUGGACCAGGUCUACACCUAUCCUAUAGCUACUAAUGAUUCAGAAAAAGGCCUGGGCACGGGCUCAAAACCUCAAAAGAAAAUAAAGGACAAGAAGCCUCCUAAAUGUCCGCCGGGUCUCUGGUGCCGCUCGAAAGUGCCAAUGUUGCCUUCAAUACCUAUUAUUUGAUGCAGUUGCUUGAAUAGCUGUCAAAUAGUCGAUGUCAAUUCAGAAUAUUGUAAUCAAAUACAUGAAGUAAUAUUCACCAUUCAAAGAAAUAAAAAGAUUUAGUUCAAAUGAGGACAUUUGGAGUU